UAUUGUGGUUAGAGCCGGACGGACCUGGCAUGUGAAUGAGACUGGUGCCGUCAGACUGUCUGUAACACUCGAUUGGACAAUCUGAGGUCAUGUGACUGAGACUGGUGAGGUCAGACUGUCUGUAACACUCGAUUGGACAAUCUGAGGUCAUGUGACUGAGACUGGUGAGGUCAGACUGUCUGUAACACUCGAUUGGACAAUCUGAGGUCAUGUGACUGAGACUGGUGAGGUCAGACUGUCUGUAACACUCGAUUGGACAAUCUGAGGUCAUGUGACUGAGACUGGUGAGGUCAGACUGUCUGUAACACUCGAUUGGACAAUCUGAGGUCAUGUGACUGAGACUGGUGAGGUCAGACUGUCUGUAACACUCGAUUGGACAAUCUGAGGUCAUGUGACUGAGACUGGUGAGGUCAGACUGUCUGUAACACUCGAUUGGACAAUCUGAGGUCAUGUGACUGAGACUGGUGAGGUCAGACUGUCUGUAACACUCGAUUGGACAAUCUGAGGUCAUGUGACUGAGACUGGUGAGGUCAGACUGUCUGUAACACUCGAUUGGACAAUCUGAGGUCAUGUGACUGAGACUGGUGAGGUCAGACUGUCUGUAACACUCGAUUGGACAAUCUGAGGUCAUGUGACUGAGACUGGUGAGGUCAGACUGUCUGUAACACUCGAUUGGACAAUCUGAGGUCAUGUGACUGAGACUGGUGAGGUCAGACUGUCUGUAACACUCGAUUGGACAAUCUGAGGUCAUGUGACUGAGACUGGUGAGGUCAGACUGUCUGUAACACUCGAUUGGACAAUCUGAGGACAUGUGACUGAGACUGGUGAGGUCAGACUGUCUGUAACACUCGAUUGGACAAUCUGAGGUCAUGUGACUGAGACUGUGGUUGGAAUAUAUUUCCCCAAAUACCUUUC
Long non-coding RNA from Oncorhynchus keta (chum salmon), 915 nucleotides. RefSeq lists it as uncharacterized. The transcript is spliced from 3 exons. The record is from RefSeq and is a predicted model, not a curated record. NCBI's taxonomy places the organism in Eukaryota, Metazoa, Chordata, Actinopteri, Salmoniformes, Salmonidae.